Molecule: ribosomal RNA, 465 nt
Filed under: uncultured bacterium
Lineage: Bacteria
Description: bacterial SSU rRNA
Rfam family: Bacterial small subunit ribosomal RNA
Source: RNAcentral
CCAGACUCCUACGGGAGGCAGUAGUGCGGAAUAUUGGUCACUGGGCGAGAGCCUUCCCCAGCCAAUUCGCUUGAGGGAGUACUGCACUAUGGGUUUUCCCCCUCUUUUGUCUUUGAGCAAAAGCCGGCCGUGUCCUUCUUUUAGAGUACCCUCCGCAAAAGCAUCUUCUCACUCCGUUCCCUCCGCCGCGGUCCUCCGGAGGAUGCGCGCUUUAUCCGGAUGCAUUGGGUUUAAAGGGUGCGUAGGUUGGUUGAUAAGUUAGCGGGGAAAUACCGAGGGUAAACAUCGGGGCUGCCGCUAAUACUGUAGGACUAGAGAUCGGAUGCAGCAGGCGGAAUGUGUAGUGUAGCGGGGAAAUGCAUAGAUAGGAAAAAGAACACCGAUUGCGAAGGCAGCUUGCUAGGCCGGAUCUGACACUGAUGCACGAAAGCGUGGGGAGCGAACAGGAUUAGAUACCCGAGUAAG